CUGCUGCAACAGCUGCUGCAGCAGCUGCUGCUGCAGCAGUUCUUGCUGCACAACAGCAGCUGCUGCUGCACUGCUGCGGCAGCGUGCUGCACGGCGGCUGCUGCAAAACAGCAGCAACAACA
Small nucleolar RNA from Portunus trituberculatus (swimming crab), 122 nucleotides. The record is from RefSeq and is a predicted model, not a curated record. Lineage: Eukaryota; Metazoa; Arthropoda; Malacostraca; Decapoda; Portunidae.